Long non-coding RNA from Cucumis melo (muskmelon), 989 nucleotides. RefSeq lists it as uncharacterized. NCBI's taxonomy places the organism in Eukaryota, Viridiplantae, Streptophyta, Magnoliopsida, Cucurbitales, Cucurbitaceae. The transcript has 3 exons. The record is from RefSeq and is a predicted model, not a curated record.
UGUUUUCUUCUUCUUGAUUCUUCUCCUUCACUCACGAUCUUCUUCCUCCUUCCUCUCUAAACAAUUUCUCACACCCGACCUUUCUCCCCCCUCCUUCUCAAUUUUUCUCUUCAUCUCUCCCUCUCUUCUUCUCCUUCACGCCGACGCCACCACCAAAUCGACAACCCUCCUCUGACGUUGGACGACGACUAGCGCGCCACGCCAACCACCAUCGACGUUUAAAUCUUCCCUACCAUCAAUCGAACUCCGGCUAUUCUAUGUCGUUCCGUCCGAGAUCAUUGAGUCGAGCCAGCUUGGAGUCACACCCUGCUACUUACUUCCUAUAGAUCGUCGUGCUAGGCCACCCUCUGCCAUCGCUAGCCUCGUCGGAUUUGGAAGUUGAGGCUAAAUUGAAGUGGGGAAAGCGUAAAAUCCCGAAGGAUCGAGUAAUUGAUUCGCCACCUACGGUUGUCAGAGGAUUCCAGGAUCGAAAGAGGCCGUGACCGAAGAUCCGAGAACCUGAGCCUAGGUGAGUAUGUGGAUGGAGGAUUGUGAUAUGACUUCGGGCCUAGCUAAACCCAUGGUGGGUGGCUCUAUGUGCACAUAGAAGCGGUAUGUUGCUACCAUGGUAUGUGCUAAGUAUGUGUGAGCUCCGUUUGGCCGCGUGUUUCUUUAUUGAUAUAGAGCACGUGUGAGCUAUCCUUGGGCUGUAUGCUUAGUAUGCUAUCAUGGUUGGGUUGGAUUGGUUGGAUCGGAUUGGAUGGAAGUUGUUAUCGUGGCGGGUACUAAAUAUACGUGAGCUAGUUUUGGUCGCAUGAUUCAUUGGUCAUGUGUGAGCUAUCUUUGGUCGUAUAUUUAGUCACCUUGCCACGGUUGAUUGGGUCUAGGUUUGUUGGCCUUGCUUGUGGUUUAUGGUAAUAUAUGAUUUUAACCCUGUAAUUAUUAUUUCGUUAUUGAUGUUAUAUUUAAACGAUUUGAAGAUAUGUUUUAUGAACUUUUACCUUUUAAAA